AGCAGCCGCGGUAAUUCCAGCUCCAAUAGCGUAUAUUAAAGUUGUUGCAGUUAAAAAGCUCGUAGUUGAAUUUCGGGGUCAGUAGGUUGGUCAUGCCACUGGUAUGUACUGGCCUCACUGAUUCCUCCUUCCUGAUGAGCCGUAAUGCCAUUAAUUUGGUGUUGCGAGGAAUCUGGACCGUUACUUUGAAAAAUUAGAGUGUUUAAAGCAGGCUAACGCUUGAAUACAUUAGCAUGGAAUAAUGAAAUAGGACGUUUGAUUCUAUUUUGUUGGUUUCUAGGAUCGACGUAAUGAUUAAUAGGGAUAGUUGGGGGCAUUAGUAUUCAAUUGUCAGAGGUGAAAUUCUUGGAUUUAUUGAAGACUAACUACUGCGAAAGCAUUUGCCAAGGAUGUUUUCAUUAAUCAAGAACGAAAGUUAGGGGAUCGAAGACGAUCAGAUACCGUCGUAGUCUUAACCAUAAACUAUGCCGACUAGGGAUCGGAUGAUGUUAAUUUUUAAUGUACUCA
This 507-nucleotide ribosomal RNA is filed under the name uncultured Glomeraceae. RNAcentral describes it as "SSU rRNA". It matches the Rfam family "Eukaryotic small subunit ribosomal RNA", at positions 569 to 1078 of the family's 1831-position model. Lineage: Eukaryota; Fungi; Glomeromycota; Glomeromycetes; Glomerales; Glomeraceae. The record is from RNAcentral.